GGCCGGGUCGGGAGCGAGGCUGCGGCGAGUGCGGCGCUGACAGAGACGCGCGCGCGCGCGAUCGCGCUCGGACCCCGGCCGCUGCCGCCAUCACUGUCGCCCGCCCAGUCGCCCCUCAGCCGCUUCCCCUCGCUAUGGAGGCGAGGCCGCCGCCGCCGCCGCGGGGCUCGGAGCCGCGGGCCGGGCGGCGGCCCUGAGGGCUAGUGGCGGCCCGAAACGCCGCCGCGGAGCCGAGGCGGAGCCGCUGUCCUCGUCCCCAGCGGUCCCGCCCAACGCCCGACUCUGUGACACAACUAAAAAAAAAGCAAAGGUAUUUAUGGAAUUCCACUGAGUGGUAAUGGAUGAUGCAGUUCAAAUAACUAAGGACACAUGUUCAAAGAGCAUAAUUAACUUUUUAAAAGAAGCUAAUAAGCAUGGAUUCCUGGUUCAUUCUUCUUCUGCUCGGCAGUGGUCUGAUAUGUGUCAGUGCCAACAAUGCUACCACAGUUGCACCUUCUGUAGGAAUUACAAGAUUAAUUAACUCAUCAACAGCAGAACCAGUUAAAGAAGAGGCCAAAACUUCAAAUCCAACUUCUUCACUAACUUCUCUUUCUGUGGCACCAACAUUCAGCCCAAAUAUAACUCUGGGACCCACCUAUUUAACCACUGUCAAUUCUUCAGACUCUGACAAUGGGACCACAAGAACAGCAAGCACCAAUUCUGUAGGCAUUACAGUUUCACCAAAUGGAACGUGGCUUCCAGAUAACCAGUUCACGGAUGCCAGAACAGAACCCUGGGAGGGCAAUUCCAGCACCGCAGCAACCACUCCAGAAACUUUCCCUCCUUCAGAUGAGACACCAAUUAUUGCGGUGAUGGUGGCCCUGUCCUCUCUGCUAGUGAUCGUGUUUAUUAUCAUCGUUUUGUACAUGUUAAGGUUUAAGAAAUACAAGCAAGCUGGGAGCCAUUCCAAUUCUUUCCGCUUAUCCAACGGCCGCACUGAGGAUGUGGAGCCCCAGAGUGUGCCACUUCUGGCCAGAUCCCCAAGCACCAACAGGAAGUACCCACCCCUGCCCGUGGACAAGCUGGAAGAGGAAAUUAACCGGAGAAUGGCAGACGACAAUAAGCUCUUCAGGGAGGAAUUCAACGCUCUCCCUGCAUGUCCUAUCCAGGCCACCUGUGAGGCUGCUUCCAAGGAGGAAAACAAGGAAAAAAAUCGAUAUGUAAACAUCUUGCCUUAUGACCACUCUAGAGUCCACCUGACACCGGUUGAAGGAGUUCCAGAUUCUGAUUACAUCAAUGCUUCAUUCAUCAACGGCUACCAAGAAAAGAACAAAUUCAUUGCUGCACAAGGACCAAAAGAAGAAACGGUGAAUGAUUUCUGGCGGAUGAUCUGGGAACAAAACACAGCCACCAUCGUCAUGGUUACCAACCUGAAGGAGAGAAAGGAGUGCAAGUGCGCCCAGUACUGGCCAGACCAAGGCUGCUGGACCUAUGGGAAUAUUCGGGUGUCUGUAGAGGAUGUGACUGUCCUGGUGGACUACACAGUACGGAAGUUCUGCAUCCAGCAGGUGGGCGACAUGACCAACAGAAAGCCACAGCGCCUCAUCACUCAGUUCCACUUUACCAGCUGGCCAGACUUUGGGGUGCCUUUUACCCCGAUCGGCAUGCUCAAGUUCCUCAAGAAGGUGAAGGCCUGUAACCCUCAGUAUGCAGGGGCCAUCGUGGUCCACUGCAGUGCAGGUGUAGGGCGUACAGGUACCUUUGUCGUCAUUGAUGCCAUGCUGGACAUGAUGCAUACAGAACGGAAGGUGGACGUGUAUGGCUUUGUGAGCCGGAUCCGGGCACAGCGCUGCCAGAUGGUGCAAACCGAUAUGCAGUAUGUCUUCAUAUACCAAGCCCUUCUGGAGCAUUAUCUCUAUGGAGAUACAGAACUGGAAGUGACCUCUCUAGAAACCCACCUGCAGAAAAUUUACAACAAAAUCCCAGGGACCAGCAACAAUGGAUUAGAGGAGGAGUUUAAGAAGUUAACAUCAAUCAAAAUCCAGAAUGACAAGAUGCGGACUGGAAACCUUCCAGCCAACAUGAAGAAGAACCGUGUUUUACAGAUCAUUCCAUAUGAAUUCAACAGAGUGAUCAUUCCAGUUAAGCGGGGCGAAGAGAAUACAGACUAUGUGAACGCAUCCUUUAUUGAUGGCUACCGGCAGAAGGACUCCUAUAUCGCCAGCCAGGGCCCUCUUCUCCACACAAUUGAGGACUUCUGGCGAAUGAUCUGGGAGUGGAAAUCCUGCUCUAUCGUGAUGCUAACAGAACUGGAGGAGAGAGGCCAGACAUUGAACAAAUUCAUUUACCAGAUACUGAGAGCCUACCAUGUGCCAGGCAUUGUGCAAGGUGUGGGGAAUACAGAGAUGAAAAGAGACGCAGCCACUCCCACAAGGAGCUGUAGAGGGAAGUGAGCCAGGUGCAAGCAAAGACAGACAGUAGACCACCUCCUGCUCACUAGCAAGGACAGAAAGGCGAGUGCUAGCAACUUGAAGGUACCUUGCAGAUCAAAGAGAUAAAGGUAAAAGGGAGAAAGGAUACUGUGGCCUGGGCGGUGGUGAAGCCCAUGGCUGUGUGGGAAUGUGAAUUGGUUCUGAUUUUCUGAAUUAGCAGUCUGGCAGAUGUAAGCAGCAUUAACUAUGAAAACACCCCAUGGGAGAAAAAGAUAGGAAUUGGAACGAAGAGUUUCACUCCUCCUCUCCCUCCAGCCACCAAGUAUUGGAUACCCUGUGAGCCUGUAGUCAGAGUUCUUUACAGACCCCGUCAGUGUUUUAGAUGGUCUCUGGUGAGGAUCGGAGGUUAAUUGGAAUGAUGUGAUAUAAUGAUCCUGCAAGUUUUCAAUACCUUAGGGACGAAGUGUAUCAGCAUAAGAGGUGGCUGUACUGAGAGGGGUCAGGCUGCUCGUGGGCAGUGCUGCUUCUACACAUGUGGUACUCUGAGCUCCUCACCUCUCCAACCUGUCUCUCCAGGAGAAGUGUGCCCAGUACUGGCCAUCUGAUGGACUGGUGUCCUAUGGAGAUAUUACAGUGGAACUGAAGAAGGAGGAGGAAUGUGAGAGCUACACCGUCCGAGACCUCCUGGUCACCAACACCAGGGAGAAUAAGAGCCGGCAGAUCCGGCAGUUCCACUUCCAUGGCUGGCCUGAAGUGGGCAUCCCCAGUGACGGAAAGGGCAUGAUCAGCAUCAUCGCCGCCGUGCAGAAGCAGCAGCAGCAGUCAGGGAACCACCCCAUCACCGUGCACUGCAGCGCUGGGGCAGGAAGGACGGGGACCUUCUGUGCCCUGAGCACCGUCCUGGAGCGUGUGAAAGCAGAGGGGAUUUUGGAUGUCUUCCAGACUGUCAAGAGCCUGCGGCUACAGAGGCCACACAUGGUCCAGACACUGGAACAGUAUGAGUUCUGCUACAAGGUGGUGCAGGAAUAUAUUGAUGCAUUCUCAGAUUAUGCCAACUUCAAGUAAGCGGCAACAAGGGUCCGUGGACCAGGAGGAUUGCCUUUAAUAUUUUGUAAUAUUCUGUUUUGUUAAUAUACCCCAAAUUGUGUAUAUAUCUUAUAACUGUUUUAGAAAUUGGUACAUAGGCUUCUAUUACCUAUUAGGUGGAAAUUUUAUAUGUAAAUGUGUUAGCACUGAUAGUCCUUUUUCCAAUGUUUUAUUGGGGAAUUAAAUAGUGUGAUGUUUGGAUUGA
Molecule: RNA transcript, 3702 nt
Organism: Pan troglodytes (chimpanzee)
Lineage: Eukaryota; Metazoa; Chordata; Mammalia; Primates; Hominidae
Gene: PTPRA
Gene name: protein tyrosine phosphatase receptor type A
Exons: 23
Source: RefSeq, a predicted model, not a curated record